This is an RNA transcript of Zootermopsis nevadensis, 8301 nucleotides long. It is a transcript of the gene named Ubiquitin specific protease 20/33, with no coding region annotated. Lineage: Eukaryota; Metazoa; Arthropoda; Insecta; Blattodea; Termopsidae. The record is from RefSeq and is a predicted model, not a curated record.
UUUGACACUCGAAUUUGAAUAUUAUUUCAAAGAACAUACAUUUUUAGCAUCUCUGCUUUCAAUUUUAUACUUUCUCACGUUUUCAUCUGUGGUUACUGGGCAGUUCCAUGGAUUUCAUCUAUGCACGUGUUUAUGGGACCAACAGUACCGAUGAAUUUUAAGAAUAUUACCAUUAGAGGGCAACGGAUUUAUUCAUGCAGGGUGUUUGCCUACGUCAAGGGAACUGUGAUAUCAGUAUUACUUGUAUUUAUUAACUGUACUGAGUCACUGCAUGUAUUGGUUAGAAUUAUGGCAGGCAGAGGAUUAAAAUGUCCCCAUGUCAGUAAUAUUUCCGAUUUCGACCAUAGUGAUGUUGAGAGAGCAAAAGAGGUAUCACGGUGUUCAGAAUGUGAUUCUUCAGGUCCUAAUCUAUGGCUGUGUCUACAUCAUGGAUGCUAUAAGAUUGGCUGCGGAGAAGCACAUAAUGAUCAUAGCACCUUGCAUAACAGGAGUUGUCACAACCAUUACAUUCAAUUGAACUUGUCUACAAACCGAUUGUGGUGUUAUCAGUGUGAGAAUGAAGUAUUCUUGGAGCAUGAUAUAAGCCAUAGUCGAUCAAAUAGUUGUGUCAUGAGCCCUAUGUCAACACACUGCAGUCCUAAAACAUUUGGGGCUGCAGGUGAAUGUGGUGACAGCAGUGACAGUGAAGACAGCUGCGAUGGCAGUGGAAAACCAAGAGGUCUUACAGGAUUACAAAACAUUGGCAACACUUGCUACAUGAACUCAGCACUUCAGGCACUGUCCAACACACCACCACUCACACAGUUUUUUUUAGAUUGUGGUGCAUCUCUAGUUGCUGCCAGUUGUGGUAGUGAAAAGAAGCCUGGAUUGUCCAAGAGUUACCAUAGGCUUGUGCAAGAGAUGUGGCAUCGCAGACGCCCAGGAUAUGUUGUUCCUUCAGGAAUCUUGUAUGGCAUUCGUAAUAAGGUUCACCCAAUGUUCCGGGGCUAUCAACAGCAUGACACGCAGGAAUUCCUGCGUUGUUUUAUGGAUCAGUUGCAUGAAGAAUUGAAGGAACCUCUCCCAGAAUCUGCUGUGUCAAGUGUCUCUGCUGCUGCAACUAGCUCUGACAAUAAUUCUCAAAGUAUGGGAGGAAAGUCAUUGGGUUCUGGGUCCUUGGAAGAGAUUUCAGAUGAAGAUGAAGAUCAGGAUGAUGGAGAAGAUGGCACUGGAGGUGGUGGGGGUGUGUCCAGUCAGUCGGAGGGGGAAUACGAGACUUGUGAUUCAGGUGUUAGUGAACGGAGCUCACUAAGUGAUGAAGGCGAGCAUGAUGGCAGCAGUGGAAGUAGAAGUGCAAGUAAGCGCAAGCUAUCACGGUCACCUUCCCCACCACCAGAACGUUUACGAUCAAAGCUAACUGCAGCUGGCUCCAAGAACUCUGGUAGUGUGCCCUCAUCUCAGGCUCUUACCUCUGUUGGAACUUCUGGGGGUGGUCCCAACACAGCAAAUUCUAGCCCAGUCUCUGUUCCUGGUUCUCCACAGAGGGCAAUGUCAAGGGGAAAGAAGACACCAGUGAAGCAUCGUUCCAUUAUAUCAGAUGUGUUUGAUGGAAAGCUGCUGAGCUCUGUACAGUGCCUUACCUGUGACAGGAUCUCAACACGUGUGGAGACAUUCCAAGACUUAUCAUUGCCAAUUCCAAGCAGGGAUCAUAUUCACAUGCUUCAUCAAGGUACAUUGACUCCUCAGCAGAAAGGAGGUCUUUCUGCUUGUUCAGACGUGUACUCAGGAGACCAGGGUUGGGUGACAUGGUUAUGGGAGUGGGUCCGUAGUUGGUUCUGGGGUCCCACAGUCAGCCUCCAUGAUUGUUUGGCUGCUUUUUUCUCAGCAGACGAGCUUAAAGGUGAUAACAUGUACAGCUGUGAAAAAUGCAACAAGCUGAGAAACGGAGUGAAGUACUCAAAAGUAUUGGAGCUACCAGAAGUUUUGUGCAUUCACUUAAAGAGGUUCCGUCAUGAGUUGAUGUUCAGUGCUAAGAUCUCUAGUUAUGUGGCUUUUCCUUUAGAAGGGCUUGAUAUGCGACCAUAUUUACAUAAAGAUUGUGUUUCUCAAGUUACAAGCUAUAACCUGGUGUCUGUAAUCUGUCAUCAUGGGACAGCAGGUGGUGGCCAUUACACGUGUUACUCAUUGAACUGUAUAUCGGAGCAGUGGUUUGAAUUUGAUGACCAGUAUGUCACACAGGUCCCUCCAGAGACUGUCCAAAACUGUGAAGCAUAUGUUCUCUUCUACAAGAAAUGCGGCGCUGCUGCAGCCAAACUACGACACAGGGCCGUGGAACUUAUGGAAUUGUCACAUCAUGAGCCCAGCCUUAUGCAGUUUUAUGUAUCAAAGCAAUGGGUAAACAAGUUCAACACCUUUGCAGAACCUGGUCCCAUUGACAACUCUGAUUUCUUGUGUAUUCAUGGAGGUGUUCAUCCAGCAAGGGAACCAUAUGUCAACCAGCUUUGUACUAUUCUGUCUCAGGCUGUAUGGGAGUAUCUCUAUGACACAUUUGGGGGUGGACCAGCAUGCAACCGUUUGUAUGCAUGCCCAACUUGUCAACAAGAGCAAGAAGCCUUAGCUCAUAGAGUGAAACAUGAACUAGAUGUAUUCAUGCAACUGAACAAAGAAUUCCAACAAGCUGAAGAUAGUCCAGUUGUUAUCUAUGCAAUCGCCAUGAACUGGUUUCGUCAGUGGCAGAGUUUUGUCAGGGGGAAGGAACCAGAACCUCCUGGUCAAAUAGACAACUCUUCAAUUUGUACUGUUAAUAAAAAUGGACAGGUGAUUCUAAAAAUGGGUUCAGAUUAUGCUCAGCUGUCUGAAGAACUGUGGUCUUUCUUCCAUCGUGUAUAUGGUGGUGGACCAGAAGUUGUCUUGAGGCCACCAUGCCAAAGAACAGGAACAGGAAGCAGUGUUGGCUGUAAUAAUAGUGGAAGCACUUUGCAGCCUCCCCCAGUGUCAAGGACAGCUCCAGCAGCUCCUGAAUCUCCACUGGGUAUGGCUAAUGCUCACAAGGCAUGUAGCAUAGAAAAUAUUGCCACAAGUCAUGUUGGAGCUUCAGGAAUGUCAGGAGGCUUCGGAACUGUAUUUCACCCAGCUGGGCGAGCCCAGAGUGUAAGCUCAGACAACAUUACUGUAAGAAUGGCUGCUCUUUCUGCAUCUGGGAACAAGCCAUCAGAAAAUACUGAUUCCAAGGGCCAAGAGACAGGUGAACCAAACACACAGUAUGCAUUUAUAUCUGCUGUACCUGGGUCUCAUAACGAUGAAGGGUCGUGGCGGGUUACUACAAUAGCUUCUUCAACAUCUAUACCAUCAUCAUUAGCUGUAGAUCAAUAUGAAAUAUCUGAUAUUAUGGAUGCUGUCAUAAGUGGGGAGCCACUAGUUGCCAUUAACUGAAAAAUAAGGUAUGUAUUCUUUUAAUAACAGUUACUGGAACAGAGUGAAGUGAUGUGGAAAUGAAACAGCAGUACACCUCUCAGUAUGUGGUUAAAGACGCAGGCACGCUGCUUAGUUUUCUGUCAUUUGCUUAGCAGGUUACCAUAUUUAUAAAAAUACUACUCAGACUUUCUUUAUUUGUGCUUUAAAAUUCAAAAUGUGUGUCAUAUUUAGUUACUAUUCGUUUCUGACCAGUAAUGAGCAAGUUGAUGAAACUUAGAACAAAGGCAUCUUAUAUGCCAGCAUUUCAUCCACCACUAAUGUUACAGUUAUCUUGUCAUUAUGUGGUUACCAGAGAUUCAUCCUUUAACACAUGGUACACCACAAGAAGAUUUAGGAUGGCAUUUAACGAGAAGAGACUACUUGUGUUGUACCAGGAAGUGUGCUCAUGUGACUGCAGGUUUGCUGUUGUUUUUUUAGGAAUAUCUAAAAAUAAUAAAGAAUGAAAAUUCCUGUUAUGCAGUACAAACAGCAAACAUUUCCCAACCAUCUGUGCCAUGUAGAUAUAUGUGGAGUAUUGAUUUAAUUAAUCUGAUAACUGCUGCUAAACUCUGAUCUGAUUGUCAAGAAAAUAUGUAGUGAAGGGCAUUAGAAGCCCUCAUGCAACUAAAGUGGAAAGUAUCAGUGUUGUGUAAAUUUUAGGUGUAUCUGAAGGUCAGAUAAUUACACUGUUAUCAUAUAAAAGGUACAGAUACAAAAUUAAAAUAAUGUGUUACUUUUGUUCUCUAUUUGAAGUUGAAUUUUUAAUAUCUCCAAUAAAAUAAUUGUGCAAAAAACAGUGUAAGAGUGGAUUUUAUUAAAUGACUGGUAAGUUUAAGUUAUGUUUCUGGAUCUCUAUGCUGCUGUUAGAAUGGGUCAGACUGAAUUGGACAAUUAAAGUAGCAUUGUGGAAGAGGAUGUUUGUUAAGGGUAAUGGAUUCAUGUAGUCUAUCUGAGCCAAGGAACAGUGAUAUUUUAUUGCUUUAAAGGUUUUCUUUUACCCCAGUUACAUUAGAUGAACAGUGUCAGUGAAAUAGACUGAUUCAUUCUUCUUUUAUGGCUCUCCAGUCCAUAUUCGGUCCAUGGCCGCCUCAAUUCUCCUCUUCCAUUCGGUCCUAUCCUCCGCUGCCUUCUUCUGUUAGGUCGGUCUGUCCGAGGCUUUGAUUGAGGUUUCGAAACAUCAUCCUUUUUACGGUGCAAGGUUGUUAGCCUUGCGACCAACCCCUAACCUGGAGGACCAGGGUACCUGUCUUAGUCUGACCUCUCCCCCUCGACCAAUCUGGCUAGGGAGGCCCUACAUCAUUAAUCCAAUUAAUAAGAGUGUCAGUUGGAAAUGGUUAAUAAGAACAACUUUAUCUUCAGUCAUAUUUUGGUAGAAGACUUCUAUUACCUGAUGUCUGAAUCCUUAUAAUAUGUGUUUUUUUACUUUGUAACACUGAAGUUUUUGUCUCCAGUUUUACAGGCAUGAACUCAUGAGUUCUCAGGAUGUUUUGCUAUAUGAGAGACUAAACAUAAAUUUACUGCCAAGGUCUUUACUACUUUAAUACAGAAAGAACAAUUGGCUUAAGUGCCUGACUCUUUCAUUCCUUUAAUUGAAAUAUGCCUGGCUGUAAAAUGGAGCAAUUGUUGAAUAUUCCUGUAUAGCUUUCAUUUAAUUUUAUCUUCAACAUUAACUCGUUAGACAUUUACCAGAUGCAAGGUAAGGGUUUGUGAUUCACUUCAAUCACACUUUCUUAUGCAGUUAUAAUUUAUGCCAAAGAUUUACCUUUUUACAUAUAUAAAUCAAUUUCAGUAAGAUAUUUAUGGAGAAAUAUGUUCAAGCUAUGAUUUUUUGUGUUUAAUUCAUAUCUUUUAAGUUCAGAUAAUUCCUGUUAUAACACUUUUGUUAAAUGUAUGUACCUGUAGAUUUUUCAUGUAAUUUUCUUGUGUUUGGUGCCAGUAUUUAAAAUUUGUAUUGCAGUCAUAAUAAUGUACUGCAAUCAGUUCAUUAGAUGAUACCAAAAAGAAUGCAUUGACAUUCCAUGAAUUUAAACAGACUUUAACUUUUUGUUUUAUUUAUGUUAUGGAGACUGUAUAGAACAAAUGUUUAAUAUUCAUGACUUUGUGUACUUGAUUGGAUAUUGAUUUAUUCAUAUGUUAAUAAAAUUAUGUAUUUCAUGAGUGAAAUCAGAUGUGUCAUACUUGAAAAGUGCUAUACUUCCACUGUGCUUAACGCUCAUGGAAAAGUGUAUUCAGCUGUUUAUUGUUUUAUGUUGCAGUGGUGUAUUUCAGUGGAACUGAACAUAAUGUUGAUGGUGGUAGUGUAUAAUAUGGUAUUUAAUGAGACAUACUUUGUGAAUCAGUAGUUUUAUGUAGUAAAUUUUUCAUGUAUUGAUCAUUAGAAACAGUUUAUUUUUCCAAAUCCAUUGUUCUGAAAAUUUGUAUGGUCUUCACUGCAAAGCUCAUAAGUUUUAUUUUUUGUUGGGGGCCAGCAACUCUGAAUUAGAACUGGAAUAUAACGUUUAGUUAUUGUCUGAUUUUUACUGUUAAAGUUGGUUGAAUGUAAUCUAUGUAAAUCAUUGUCAUUUAUAAUUUUCCAUGUGUUGCUGUGAACUGACUGUUAGUGGCAUAUGAUUCAUUCUUAUUACACAUAUAAAGUAACAAACUCUAGGCACUUGGGGGAGAAGCGGUAUAGCUCAUACUCAUUCUUGACCUCAGCACUAGAUAGAGUGGUCAGUAUCAAGUCCUGCUUAUUACACAUAUACCUCUAAGUGAUUACUUCACUGCUGCUAGCUAUAUACUCUAUUGCAUCAAACUAUUGUUCCAAAAUCACCAGGCAUACUCAGCUGUAUAAAAUUCCACUUAACUGUUUUUGGCAGUUGUUUUAUUGAAGUGAGAUGCCCUCAGUACUCGCAGAUGAUGGAUGUCCUUAUGGAUAACAAAUUUGCCAUGUUUUUAGAAUUAAAUUAUUCCUAAGGUAUUAAAUAAUUUGCUUGGAAUUGAGAACUGCUUCUCCUCUUUAAUAUGAAGUUUUCUACCAUCGUGAACUUUGUAUAUUUUCGUUUUGGCAUCAGUCCCCCCCCCCCCCAAAAAAAAAUGGUCAAAUCAUUAGAUAGGACAAUAAAAAUAUAUUGUAAGAGUUGGAUAAAUCAUUGUAUGUGCUUUGCAUAUUGAUCCAAGGUAGAUGCACAUAUUACUGUUUUGAAGUAACAGCAUCAGUAGUCCUUUGUGCAAGGAAUGACUUAAUUUUAAUUAUAAUUCAGUUUAAUUUAUUCAUAACAACUUAUGGGUUUGUGUUCUCAAAUUUGAUGAUCCCAUUUGUGAAUGUGAAGACAAAGUAUUAGUAUGAUGGAGCCACCUUGAGUUGUUAGAUGGUUGGUAAAGAUGUACGUAGGAUUGUACUAAUUGUGGAUGGCACAUGUGUUAACUGUGUAUACAUCUUAAGCAGAAUUAACAGCAACAAAAUCUCAAGUAUCUUGAAUAAUUCAAGUUUGUUUGAUAUAUUGCCUCCUACUUCCUCAAUCUCUGUUUUCUUAGUAGUGUUUUGUUCCUGAUUACCAAAUAAUGUGACAUGUGUAACUUAAGUAAUGUGGUCACAAAUUUGGAUUUUGGAAUCUUAUUGUAGAAAAAAUUAUCAUUGUAAAAUUAUGAAUAUUGAAAACUGAAAUAGAUAAACGAUUAAAUUUACUUAUUUUGUUUUUGUUCUUCAUUGUGCAAAAGAUAGGAAGAGGAAUUAAUGCAUAUGAUAACUUUUGUACAAUAUAGCAUUUUCAUUACCAUCAGGCAUCACUCUUAUUCUCCAUAUUCUUUACGCAACGCUUUUAUAUACAUAUAAUUAUCUUAAAGCAUCUUCACAGUGAGUGAAUAAGUAUAUCAAUAAAGAAGGUAUGUUACAUACACAGUAAGAAGUUGUAAUGUGACUAAAAAUUAUAUUCUGGUUUGAUGAAGUAUAAUCUUAUGUAAAUGUUAUUUAGUUGUCUGUCCAGUACACCCUGUUUAAUGGUAUAUCGCUGUGUUGGAAAAUACAGCCAUUAUUAAUCAUGGAACAUUACUCAUACUGUAGAGAUGAAUAUUGAGAUUUUGAUGCUGUAUGCAGCACAGAUGUACACUUAAUAUUUCUAGAGUAAUGAUUUGAACUUGCCUAAGUAUUAUAUUCCCCAUGGGCCUUUGCAGAUACUCAGUAUGAAUAUGGUAAUGCUCAACUACAAAUGUGUCUGUUAAUACAGCAAAUUUCAGAUUUAUACAUAUUUAUAUAUGUUGUUUGUGCGCACACUUGUAUUUGGAAUAAAAUGUCUUGUUAUUAUUUUACAACUUUCAGACCUAUGCAUUGGGUAGUAUUUUUGUUCAUCUGCUGUUAAAAUGAAUAUAAAAUACAUGCGCUGGUACUGAAAAAGAGAGUACUUUUUAAAAUAUGGUUUUAAAUGCAUAAAAUAAUUUUUUUGUUAUUAAAAUCCUCCGUACAUCUUUCUAAAGUUUUUACUAUGCAGACAGACAGACGUGUUCCUGAACACAGCCGUCUUCACAUUUGUUGCUGUGAGAACCUGAAAUCACAUAAAUGCUCAUAUUCCUUUGAUUUUAAAUAUGGAGCCACCAGAUUAUGUACAGAAUUGACAGCUACCAGAAAAUGAGAAAUGGCUACAGUAAAAAGUGACUGCUUUCAGGUGAGUGAAGAAGUUAACGUGUAGUGUUUUAGUACAUGUCAUGAAUUUUUAAUUUAGGAAAUUUUCAGCCAAAGGAAUGCACUUUAUGACACCCAUUCAUAAAAUACCAUACACUGGUGUAAUUACUAUAUAUUCUCCUGUCACUAGAAGUUUUGUACAAAUGACAAGAGUUUUUGUAGAAGAAACCAACAAUGUUCAUUCAUUCAUUACAAAAUAAAUCUUAUGGAACUUA